CUUGCAACCAUAUCAUGUUGAAACACCAGUUCUAGUAAGAUCAUCGAAGUUAAGCAGCAUCAAGCCUGGUCAGUAUAUAGAUUGGUGACUGCUUGGGAAUACCAGGUGCUGUAAG
Molecule: non-coding RNA, 115 nt
Organism: Acanthosepion pharaonis
Lineage: Eukaryota; Metazoa; Mollusca; Cephalopoda; Sepiida; Sepiidae
Source: the annotation of a GenBank genome assembly